AUUACAAUAAUUUAUAGGUUAAAUAGAUAUUACAAAUCAGUUCUGUAACGUUAAGAUGAUCGUUGAUCGUUUCAUUCUUUCAAGCCGAGUCAUUGAAUAUUUCUUCCAAUAUAUUUAUAUAUUUCUUCAAAUAUCAAGUUAAUUUGAGGAAAAUGAGGUAUAAUAUAUCGCAAAUCAUUGUAACUGUAGCAAUUGAAACGUUAAUUCAAGACAAUAAAUACAAAUAUGACAAGAUCGCGUAGCAUAAAUCGAUUAAAAGUUUUGCUGAAUCGAGUAAUUGCGAUACGAUAAAUCGAUUUUGCGAUAUUGUUGCGCAUUGAAUAGUUGCGCAUCUGGUAAUUAUACAACUAUUCGCCAUAUUACAUCUCGCGAGAGAUUGAUCGAUCGAUUGUACGCGAUUAAUUUCGAAACUCUGGCAAACGUGAAACGUAUGUACGGGGAACAGUGGGAAGAAUAGAAAGUACAAGUGAAUUAUUUCUCUCGUGUAAUAUCGUCGCGGCUCCACAGAUGCGGACGAUAAUAUCGAAUCAGCGUGCAACUCGCUUCCUACAACAGUUGCAAACGGAUCACGAUUUAUCGAAGCGAACGUACUGGCGACAUUACGUCAUACCGACAAAGAAGAAAUUAAAUUAAUCGAAUAAAUUACUUCGCAUCGUAAAUACCUUAUGAUUGCGUAUACUAUUCAUUAAUUAUAUUUUGGUGGGUCCAAAGAGUUCGUUUCGGCAAAUAAAUUGACACAAAUGGCUUCAAUAGGUUUCUAUUGUUUUCGGCGAAUGAAAGGUUAGGACGAAAAGGCAGAUUCGCGACGUUCUGGGCUCGAGGGCAGCAUGGAUGAAUGCGAAGAAACCCCCAUUAAGUUGUUACGCCGACUUAUCCUCCUGCACGUCGAUUAAUCGCCGUCUCAGUUCGGUGCAACGACAUUUCGCCUUCCUCAUAGGGAGGCGUCUUUCGCCGCUCUUCUCGUUUUUUCCGCACGAAAUUCCGCCUCAAGCUUGUAGACGAGAAGCGCCACUCGAAAAGGACGUUCGAUACGAGGAAGAGGUUAGGUCCUCGCCCGCGGACCCCUCUCGACCGUUCUCGUGAUAGCUGUGAGGGCCGUUUAUUAAGGAAAGGUUUACUCGUUGAGCCGUCUCUGGGCCGAUUUCUGCAGGUUUUUGACCGCUCUAGGAAUUCAUCCUCCGCGCGGAUGAACGUUACACUUCAUGGUUUCAUGGCCCGUUCCACGCCUUCCAAAAUUUUGUCCCUCGAGGAAAGGGUUCAUUUCGAAAGAAUUUUUCUCCUGUGUCUCGAACUUCUUUGAAAAUGAAGGUGCUAAAGAUGGUACAAAAAGCUUGUAAUAUUUUUAUUCUAUAAUGAAGAAUGGAUUAAACAGAAUCGAAUGAUGUUUGCUUGUCUUGAAAAACUUAUUGAUAUUUCUUCUAUCAAUGCGGCACGAUCACGUAACAUACACGAAAUACAAUACGACUUGUGAAUACGAUUCCAAACUGUGACAACAGUAGAGCUCGGUGUUCCCGUCUCAACAAUGGAGGCCCGUCGUCACUUUUGAGAGACAUCCGGCAGCCUUUGGUCGGCUCUUUUUUCUUUUCGGAAUCGGCUCACCGCUGCGAGAAUCCUCUUCUACGAAUCGCGUUUGGCCGAUCCAAAAGAGACUGUACAGGUCGUGCAGCUCGUGCUCCUUUUAUUUUACGGCGCUGUGUGCAAAUUGGCCAGAGGAUUAGAAUCGCGAGCAUAGGCUGCGUGCUGCGUGCCCCGGAGCGAUGAAUUAUUAUUGUCUCGUGCCACACGCAGCCACGCUUCGCGUUUUAUGCACCCGUGUAUACGAGCAUCCUCGAAAUCGAAAUAGGCAGAGAGAAACGACUGCGUAUCUCCCUCUUUGACGAGAAGUUUCUCCUAUUCGUGGAUUCAAAGUCGUCAAACCAAAUAGCUAAGAAUUAAUUUCUCUUCCUUAGAUAAAAGUUUCUUUUUAAAAUGAUGCAAAUGAUUCAACUUCGUCAUGGACUUUCUCUUUGAAUGAAACCAAAUACCAACGAAGAACAAUUUUGAUAAAAUUCACUGUUAAAAUAAUGAUUCAACUUCAUUUUUCUUUCUCUUCACGUUUCAGAGCAGAGAGGUUAGCAAAAUUUGAGGUUAAAGUGUUCAAGAAUGAUUACAUUUUAUCAAUUCAAUGCAUCGAAUACACAGGUUUUAUGCAAGAUCAAUCAAUUAUUAUUAUAUAUCCAGGUCUCGACAGUUAAAUUAUCCUGCUAUUCUAGAAACCUUGUCUGCCUUCAUUGUCCUUUCAACCAGGCUGCAUAACAACGUACGUUUCAAAGUUCUCGAUAUCUUGAUCUUCGCUUCCAACGUUCGCCUCCCACAUCACAGAACACGUGCAUAUUCAGCUUACACACCGAAUUACCUUCAUGGAGCAAGAUUGCCUGGUGGAAAGCGAGACGUGACAAUGGAAAGGAACGUCGUUAGAAAUACUUUUGGAACCAGCAGAGAGAGAGAGAGAGAAAAAGAGAGAAUUUUUGCAUCGUUCCUCGAGGAGGAAUGUCGGUUUCGAGGUUCCAUGAAGACAUAUCAACCUUUCCACGAUACACACGCACCCACAUUCAUUGUAUGGCAAACCCGAUAUCUCAUCGUAGGUGGAGGAGGCACGCCACGAGUUAUUGACUCGUUUGAUCCUGGGUUACGCCCCGACCUACCUUAACUCUGACUUACUAUCUUGCCACGAGAGGCAAGAUCGGCCCACGACGCGACGCCGCCGAUUUCCGCUCCUCGAGGAACAUCGUUCACCUCGUUUCUUUCUGUUUCUCUCUGAAUAAUGAAUAGGGGGUAAUGAAAAUCCUUUUGGAGGAGGAGAAAUAAGACAGAAGUUGUUUCUGUCUGUUCCUGUUGUUUCAUUGAAGAGAAUUCGAGAAUUUGCCUUAUUUUUAUAUUAUUGUAUGUACAUGGAUAUUUUUUAAUUGGAAUAGUUAAAUUGAUGGGAUAUAAUUUUCAGGAGGAAUUUCAGGGUUUAUUUAUAAACCCAAAUUGUAUGAUGGAGUUAAAAUUUUUUGGAAUACAGAAAUGAAAUGUAAAGAUCUUUGAGCAAUGAUUUUUAUCCAAGUAAGUUUUUCACCAAUCUACAACAAUAUACCAAUAUAAUAAUAUAUUAUAUAAUUAAUAACAUAUUAAUAAUGUUUUUUUAAUAAUGUGACAUGUUUGAAAUCAAUUUUCCUGAUGAAGAGGUACUGUAAGUAAAAUUUGCAAAUAUAUAUCAUGUCAACAUUAACAUUAACUUGUUUUAUAAGAUUCCCUUUUGGGUAAAUUCCACUUUGAAUUGAAUAUCAAAUAUUUUUUCUUUGUUGAAUCCGUGUUUGCAGAGAGUAAGUUGAAUGCCAGUAAAAAAAAAAGAAUUAAUAAUCUCAAUUAUCAUUGGGAUGCAUGAUAAAAAUAUCUUUACACAUAUCUCGAUUAUCUUUAACUUCAUCGUUCACUUUUGUAUUUUAUUUCUCGUUAAAAAUUGUUUUUUCAUUGAAUUCUAUAUUUUUCAGGGUCCAAAUUAGAUGAUUCAUCCAAGAGAAUCUCUCAAUUGAAGGAAAAGCACAAUACGAAUAAUCGUGCCAAUUUUAAGAAGAUCUAAGAAGAUAUUAUAUUGAGAUAUAAUCUCAAUUAUCAUUGGGAUACAUGAUAAAAAUAUCUUUACACAUAUCUCGAUUAUCUUUAACCUUAUCGUUCACUUUUGUAUUUUAUUUGUUAAAAAUUGUUUUUUCAUUAAAUUCCAUAUUUUUCAGGGUCCAAAUUAGAUGAUUCAUUCAAGAAAAUCUCUCAAUUGAAGGAAAAGCACAGUACGAAUAAUCGUGUUAAUUUGAAGAACUAAGAAGAUCUAAGAAGAUAUUUCUUCUUCUCCCUUCGUUGGAAGUUCCACGUGUCGAAUCGCCGAUCUCCAGAAACUGCACACGUUGCAAUCGUACUCCAACGCCAAGAAUCGAUCGAUCGAAUCGGAUUCGCUCAUAGAAUUGGAAUUUCACAUUUUUAUCACCCAACUCGUAUUACGUUCAACAAGUUGACCAACGAUCGAUAUCCGAUAGCGUCAAUUUCCUUUCAUCGAUCUCUGUAAACGAAAUGCGACACAGGCAAAAUUUAAUAUUUGAAAUUACGAAUAAAGUUCAACAAUAAUACAAUCAUAGCUAUGAACAAAUAGUUAUUACAUAUAAAGCUUAUUUUAAUAAGUAAUUAACUCGAGGUAACUUUAUUCGAAAUUUUUAAUUUUUAAUUGGUUAAUUUUUUCAACUACAAUGUUAAACAAUUCUGGCGAAAAAUCGUGGAGCGUGGAGAGACUUGCCUCUAGGUGGAGGUGGCACACCUGCCCUCGAAUAUGGAGAGAGGAGAGGAGAUUCGCGCACGUAUGUUGGAAGAUGCGCCGACAGACACGCCCUGGUUAAAUGCUGGUGAUGAAUGCGCGAAAAAAGGAGGGGGGAAGGAAUCGAAAGAUCGGUGGCAAAUCGACGCUUGUCCCCUUUUCCAUCUCGAAUCCGCCCCCGGGAAUGCAAAUGAUGUAUCCGUCUCUAGGAGGGUAGCCAAGCCUCCCCCGUGACUUAUCAUGCUUAAUUACACGGUCUACCGUUGAAUUAUCGCCGUUUUACGAUAUUAAAGAGGGGGCAAUUAGCCGUUUUUUCGUUUCCUUCCUCCGGGGUCUAGAUCCCUGCUUUCAUCCAAUCAAGAAUAUGUCUGUGUUCGCGACGCCUGUGUAUAAUAUAUGUAACGCGGAAUAUAAAGCAGCAGGGCGUACCCUUUUUGAAAAUAACACGUUCCCUCGUGAGAUAGAGAUAGGCUAGGUUUCUACGUGAAAUUGUUUAUCGGGUAAUCUGGUGCGCCACCCUACAGGUAUCGAAGAGUGUAGGUUCCUCGCGAGAGAAAUAUCGGUAUAGAUAUCACCUAUUACCACAAUUAUACCUCGUAUUUCAUUUACCAUGAUUCUUUCGAUAUCUAAAAAAAGAAAAAGGGAGACACGCAUAUGUAUUCCUUUUUCAACGAUGGAGAGAAUGGAUUAAUCGUUCCGUUGAAAUUUCCAUUGAUAGAAAUGGCGAAUAACGCACGCUUGUUCACUUAAAAAAAUCGGCCGUAUCAUUUUUCUCGUUGCGCGUUGUCGGCUCAUUUUUUCGAGCGGUGGCGCUCGAAGCCGAAAAGGGGUGGAAGAUACAUAGCGCGAUGCCCUGAGCGGACGCCGACCCAUUUCUCUUUCGCGCCUCUUUCUCUCUCGUUAACGCGACCCUAUCGCCGUUUCAUCCACGGUGCGAGUUUAAACGCCCCCGGUCCCGUCAACCUGAUUUCACUAACGAACCCGCCAAUUUAUAUUAUCGAUCGGAUCGUGUGUCCGCAGUAGGCCAACUUGACCGAGGAUUCAUCGUUAAACCGGUACCCGGCAGCCACGCUGCACCCUUAUCGUUUGCAUCCGCCAUCGCAUUGCCAGUGGCCGUUUUUUGUUUUCGAACCGUUCUCUCCAACUUUCCAUCUCUUCGAAUCUCUUCUAUCGAACGAUAACCGGUCCUUCCACCUACUCUCUCUCUCUCUCUCUCUCUCUGUAUAUAUAUAUAUGAUCAUUCACGAAUCGAGGAUGUUUCGAAAGAAUGGAAAUAAAGCUGGAUCGAAAGGA
Molecule: long non-coding RNA, 5617 nt
Organism: Apis mellifera (honey bee)
Lineage: Eukaryota; Metazoa; Arthropoda; Insecta; Hymenoptera; Apidae
Exons: 5
Source: RefSeq, a predicted model, not a curated record